GGACUACCCGGGUAUCUAAUCCUGUUUGCUCCCCACGCUUUCGCACCUCAGCGUCAGUAUCGAGCCAGUGAGCCGCCUUCGCCACUGGUGUUCUUGCGAAUAUCUACGAAUUUCACCUCUACACUCGCAGUUCCACUCACCUCUCUCGAACUCAAGACUCCCAGUAUCGGGGGCAGUUCUGGAGUUAAGCUCCAGGAUUUCACCUCCGACUUAAGAACCCGCCUACGUGCGCUUUACGCCCAGUGAUUCCGAGCAACGCUAGCCCCCUUCGUAUUACCGCGGCUGCUGGCAC
RNAcentral lists this ribosomal RNA (292 nucleotides) under uncultured bacterium. Its description in RNAcentral is "partial 16S ribosomal RNA". The record is from RNAcentral.